Molecule: non-coding RNA, 85 nt
Organism: Felis catus (domestic cat)
Lineage: Eukaryota; Metazoa; Chordata; Mammalia; Carnivora; Felidae
Source: Rfam
GCCUGGGUGGCUCAGUCGGUUAAGCGUCCGACUUUGGCUCAGGUCGUGAUCUCGCGGUUCGUGGGUUCGAGCCCCGCGUCGGGCU